Apus apus (common swift) is the source of this 749-nucleotide long non-coding RNA. RefSeq lists it as uncharacterized. NCBI's taxonomy places the organism in Eukaryota, Metazoa, Chordata, Aves, Apodiformes, Apodidae. The record is from RefSeq and is a predicted model, not a curated record. The transcript has 2 exons.
AGCAAGGGUGAUGUUUGCUCUCCUGUGCCGCGAGUCAAUUGCUGAAUAAAUAGUGUUGAAAGCCUGGAGAAAUUCAGAGACAAGUCUUCAAAAGGACAAUUUUAGGGGGUUACAAAUUGUAACCACAAAAUCUGCAUCCGUGUCUUGCAUCUGCAGAUAAUUGUAAACAUCUGGAGACCCAAGUGGGAGAGUGGGUGGGGAUGAGGGAGGUGGAAAGAGAUGGACACGCUCCCCUGGAAUGUCACCGAGGGGUGAAAGGUUGGAUGGUGCAGGGACGUGGCAUGGGAAGAGCCACCACCAUGGGUGCUCUGCAAAGUGCAGGGCAAAUGGGUGCCUGGGAGGAAAGAAGAACAACCCUUGAUGGAAGAAAGCAAUGAAGGGAAAUUACUGAAGUAAAAGAAGGAAAUGGUGUCCCCUGGAGCAGGAGCCACCUGCAGAUGCAGCCCCAGCCUGUGGUGGGCUCUCCCUGGCCAUAUGAAAGACAUCAUUCCUCCUCUGCCUUCAACCAGGAUUGAGUUACCCCUGGAGUAAUUCACUUACACUUAGCAAACGAUAAAUCCUCGUGCAGUUGGUCAAGAAAUCUGGGCUAAGAAGGUCUGGAAGUGGAUUAUUAAAUCCAAAUGGUGCUGCAGCCCGAGCCUGUCUCACUCACUUCGUAGCAAAAUUAACCAUCUUAGAGGGCCUGAUAAACUGCAGGGCUGCAAGAGCUGCUCCCCAGGCACACCUUAAAUAAAGUGAUUGCUUUUUCA